AAACAACGCCGACAUAUUAAUUCACAUUACAUUGGCAGCUCCUGUCUUUUCCUCCAUGACACUGCUGUUUUCGCGUCGAGCGAAGAUGGAAUUCUUCAUACCCAUUGCUGGGCACCUGGUUUUGAUGGCUCAUUCUGAUGCUUUAUGAGAGGCCGGGAAUCAGCAGAGGUAACAAUUAUG
This 180-nucleotide small nucleolar RNA is filed under the name Trichophyton rubrum BMU01672. Its description in RNAcentral is "HACA-box snoRNA". The record is from RNAcentral. Lineage: Eukaryota; Fungi; Ascomycota; Eurotiomycetes; Onygenales; Arthrodermataceae.